Molecule: non-coding RNA, 99 nt
Organism: Tinamus guttatus (white-throated tinamou)
Lineage: Eukaryota; Metazoa; Chordata; Aves; Tinamiformes; Tinamidae
Source: RefSeq, a predicted model, not a curated record
GAGGAGGGGUCCAGGAGAGCUGGUUAAUAUAUUCAAGGAUCACCUCCUCCAAGUUCAAGAGUAGUGCAUCCCUAUGAGCAAGAAAUCCACAAAGCAGGA